CUUCCACUGAAGGAGGAGAGAUUACUAGAAACGAUUCGUUUCCCCUUUUAUCUGGGGAUUAAAUGUCGGGGUAGAGAACACACAAUUUUGUGAGACUCAAAUUAGGUCAAAAUUCGACAAAGAUCCAGAAAAAAAGGACAUUGUGCAUUUCAGGUGGCAGCAGUACACCUCAAAGAAGAAGAAGAAUAAAUUAACCCAGAACUUCUUCAUAUGAAGAAAGUGGACGUUGUGUCAUUUAUAAUGAUAGUGAUAAACAAAACUGCACAAGUUGAAAGGAAGUAAAGAAUUAUCAAUAUCAUUGUUUCUGCAGCUGAACUCUUUUUGGGAUUAAAACAUUUCACAUCUGAAGAGCUA
Long non-coding RNA from Coregonus clupeaformis (lake whitefish), 354 nucleotides. RefSeq lists it as uncharacterized. NCBI's taxonomy places the organism in Eukaryota, Metazoa, Chordata, Actinopteri, Salmoniformes, Salmonidae. The record is from RefSeq and is a predicted model, not a curated record. The transcript has 2 exons.